UUUUACUCAUAUGUGAAAUUUAAGAAAUAACAAAAAAAAUAAGCAAAGGAAAAAACAGGGAGAGAGAGAUAGUGGGAGAGACAAAUCAAGAAACAAGAGUCUUAACUACAGAGAACAAACUGAGGUUCCCAGAGGAGAGGUGGGGGCGAUGCAGAAAACAAGUAAUGGGAAUUAAGUUCACUUGUAAUGAUGAGCACAGGGUGAUGUGUGGAAUUGUUGAAUCACUCAGGUGUCAUAUACCUGAAACUAAUAAAACAUUGUAUGUUAACUAUAUUGAAAUUUAAAAUAAAAUUAAAGGAAGAGUUAAAAUGGUGGAGAGUAGCAUACCCUAUGUUUGCCUCAUCCUUCUAACAUAAUUAGAUAAAUAUCAUGUUGUUCUGAACACCCAAGAAUCCAUCUGAGGACUGAGAGAACAAACUGCACAACUAGCAGGAGAAAAGAGGCCAUGCUGUGAAAGGGGAGUUGCCAAAAUAUGAUUUGGAGGAGAAAAGAAUUGAGGGCACCAUGGAGAGGUUGGAGCCCUGAGCAAGGAGGAGGUGGGGAGAGGCAGAGAGUGAGAAAGGGAGAGAGCAUAUGAAAUGCACAGGGGACCAAAAAAAAAACACUUCCCCAGAACCAUUGACUGGGAAAAUGAGAGGGGCUGAUUGUUGGGAGUUUUUGCAACCAGUGGAGCUCAAAGUCUGAAGUUUUAGAAGUCCAUGCCAUGACCAGUGUGGAGUCCGGUGGAUACAGCAGUGCCUCCAUGGGGAAGGAGGGCAGAUGCCUGGGAGCAAAUAGCAGUCUAAGGAUCCCCUGGGAUAUAAUGGGAGAGACAUUUCUCCCUUCCUGGAGUGCAUCUGGGAGAGAGGGUAUUGGCUCUCAGGGGACAAAAGAGCUAGCUGCUGCCAUUGCACUGUUCUAUUCCUUAGCACAAGGGCAGACACCUGCCGAGGGCACCUAAUCUGGACAGUGGCUUCAUGCUGUGCUUUACUUUACUCUCCAAGCUCCUGUGCAUUCAUGAGACUUCCCUUCUGGGACAAAAUGGCACCAACCCCAGUGUAGUGAGACCCUCCUCCAGAGGAUCAGUAUGGGCCUGAAAAAAACACAGAUGCACUGUGCUGCCAGGUGAGCAGAUGGCUCAGACACAGACAGGGUGAAGAAAGGGAUCUGAAGGACACGUGGGACACACAAGGGAAGAUUAUCUGCUCUUCUGUGAGGGAUUUCUGGACGCAGGAGGCACAACUGUCCUCUCAGGAUGAGGGAGAGGGCUCAUGCCAUUUCUCUCCCCUGCCCAUCAGCACGGACUGACUUCAGUGAACAGAACAGCAACCACAGUGGAGGCCUGAACUGCGUACAGCAAUCCCCACCCCUCUGCACUCUGCAAGUGCUUAUUUACCAGGACAAGUGUGCCUGAGAACCAGAGCAGUGCGUCCCUCCCCCAUAAGACCAGAAAAAACCUCUGCAUACACCAAGUCUACUGACCAUAGACUGCUGCAAAGCUUCAGCUCUAGUGGGAAAAUGAUCAGGCCUCUUUUCACAUACAGACCAGAGCACACCUAGUUAAAGUUCACCACACAUUGGACAAGGUCCAAACACUCCCCUCUGCAGGCAAGGAGAAACUCUCCAGAAGACGGACCCGAGGGAAAAAGAAGCCAAACAAGCAGCAUCAUACACCAGAAACACUUCCUGAGGCCCCAGGCCCUGGACAGUAUAUGACUUCUUCAUAAAGGUAUUACUCUCAGAGGCAGGAAACAUUACAGGCUUUCCUAACAUGGAGAAGACAGAGAUCUAGACAAAAUGCCAAGAUCGAGGAAUUCAUCCAAAAGAAAGAACAAGAAAAGUCACAACUAGGGAUCUAAUCAAAACAGAUAUAAGUAAUAUGACUAAUCCAGAUUUUUAAAAAUAUUUUUAUUUAUUUAUUCAUGAGAGACAUAGAAAGAGGCAGAGACAUAGGCAGAGGGAGAGGCAGGCUCCUCACAGGGAGCCUGAUGUGGGACUUAAUCCUGGGCCCCAAGAUCAUGCCCUGAGCUGAAGGCAGACACUCAACCACUCAGCCACCGAGGCAUCCCCCUGAUCCAGAACUUAAAACAACAACCAUAAGGAUACUAACUGGGCUCAAGAAAUGCAUAGAAGACACCAGAUGUCCCCUUCUGCAGAGACAAAAGACCUAAAGCCUAGUCAGGCCAAAAUAAAAAAAAAAA
Molecule: long non-coding RNA, 2180 nt
Filed under: Canis lupus familiaris (dog)
Lineage: Eukaryota; Metazoa; Chordata; Mammalia; Carnivora; Canidae
Description: lncRNA (ENSCAFG00000055661.1, ENSCAFG00805008632.1)
Source: RNAcentral